RNAcentral lists this ribosomal RNA (253 nucleotides) under uncultured bacterium. RNAcentral's name for it is "partial 16S ribosomal RNA". It matches the Rfam family "Bacterial small subunit ribosomal RNA", at positions 524 to 776 of the family's 1533-position model. The record is from RNAcentral.
UACGUAUGGAGCAAGCGUUAUCCGGAUUUACUGGGUGUAAAGGGAGCGCAGGCGGUCUGGCAAGUCUGAUGUGAAAGGCCGGGGCUCAACUCCGGGACUGCAUUGGAAACUGUCAGACUGGAGUGUCGGAGAGGUAAGCGGAAUUCCUAGUGUAGCGGUGAAAUGCGUAGAUAUUAGGAGGAACACCAGUGGCGAAGGCGGCUUACUGGACGAUGACUGUCGCUGAGGCUCGAAAGCGUGGGGAGCAAACAGG